UGGGGUCGAUGAGAUAUCAGUGGACACCAUUACAGAUAUGGUAGAAGGAAGAGUCUCACAGUGGUUUCCAAGUGUGGUCCCCGGACCUGCAGCAUCAACAUCACCUGGAAACCCAUUAGAAAAGCAAACCCAGCUGUGGGCCCAGCAAGUUGUAGUUUAACAAGCCCUUCAGGUGUAUACUUUGGGAGGUACACAGACCCACUGUAGCACCUUCAGAUGGUGAGAAGGAAGGCCAAUUAAAAGAAUGUCCAAAGAAAGGAGUACUCAUCAUGAGAUAAAACACCAGCAGAGGAAUGAAAGCUGCUUCAAACAGGUGACAAAACUGAGGCUCAGAGGCCAAUGGCCUUGUUCAAGGUCACACGCCCACUAAAUGAGAGACCCGGAGACCUGGCAUCACACGCUAACUAAGAAUACUGGAAGGAGAUAAGAUUGGGACUGAAAGACCUGGAUUGAAUGAUUUUUAUCAAGUCACUUCCCUUCCUUGGAUCUCCAUUUACUCAUCAAUAAACUAAGCAGAUUGGAUUAAAUGUUCUGUAAGGUGCCUUCUAGGUGAGGAAGAAGUUGGGAUAAGUCAUAAGGAAGCACCCCAAUGAACAUCUCCUGCCUCUAUGGUUUUUCUGACAUCCAUCAACAUCUGUCAGAAUUUGAAAAUGUGACUGCUUUUAGGCACUGUGCUUAGUGCUGGAGAUUCCGUGUUGAAGCUCACAGUCUGGGGCAGAGAUGGAAACAGACACAAAUAACUAUAAUACAAUGUGGUAAGUGCUGUAAUAUAGGUACUGUAUGCUCAGAGUGCUACGGGAACUCAGGAGGGAGCUUAUGAAAUAAUUUAGUUAAUGUUCCAAUGUCUAAAUGUGAAUGUUUAAAUAACGUCUUUCUUUCCUCAGUGCUUCCUGCUUUGCAUGGCAUUUUUUACUGUUUUUUAUCUUAUUUGCUGAUUCUAGCGAUCCCGUUAAUAAGUUUUCACUCCACAAACUCACCCUUAUACAGAGUAGGUGCUCAAGAAACAUCUCCCAAAAGACAGAAUAAGUGAAUGGAUAGUCGAUGUUAUUAGCUUUUGUUGACAAUUAG
Long non-coding RNA from Homo sapiens (human), 1068 nucleotides. RefSeq lists it as uncharacterized. The transcript has 6 exons. NCBI's taxonomy places the organism in Eukaryota, Metazoa, Chordata, Mammalia, Primates, Hominidae. The record is from RefSeq and is a predicted model, not a curated record.